AUUCAUUUGAUUCAGUAGGGGGCCAGUGAGAGGGGAGUCAAAGAAGGAAUCCGAGUUUUUGACUUGAGUGACUAGCGAAUAGUGCCGUUAAAAGAAAUGAAGCUCGCUGAAGGAAGUCCUCGUAGCGGCUUGUUUGUGAGGGAAAAUGCCGUUUGGUUUUGGUCAUUUGGAGUUGGAAGGCAUUGUUGGAUAUCCAGUUUUUAUAGUGGAAGGCAGGGGGCAGCAGAGUCCCACUUUUCAAAGGAGAUUCCAGCCACAACUUCAGAAGAAACGUUGCUCCCCACCCCCUCCCGCAACUUGUAUCUUUUUUUGUUAACGAUACCAUAUCCCCUUUUUAAAAGUUGGAGAACAUAAUUUGAUUCCAAAGUCUCUGUCUUUGGGUACAGCAUUCGGAUCUGAAGGCUAACUUUGGGCAAGUGUGCCUCCAAGCUGAAUGUAUCAACUUCUUUUAAAGAAAAGGAGUUAAGAACUUAUUUACUGGUGAUGGCCUGAUGCUAUUUCAGUAGAAGGCUUGGCGUUGGACUGGAAUUGCGGAUUUUUAGCGUGAGGGCUGACUCUAUCCUGGAGACUACCGUUGGUAUUUAAAGAAAAGAAAUUAGGCCCGCCAGAGCCGCAUUCUUGAGAUACCUUUACUAUUACAGUUAUAGUCAUGGGCUCUGCUCUGCUGUCUUCCAGCAGGUGAUGUCAUCGCUGGUCACAGGACAGUGGGGCCUACUGCUGACCUGCAGCGUGCAGGUCGCUCUGGGCCCCGGGGCUGUGCUCCCAGGCUUGCUUCUCUGUGGUCUGCUUUGUUAACACACACAAGGACCACAUCUACCUGUAUAUUGCUGUGUCUGGCACAGGUGAGCUACGGAAGAGGUACCUGAUCAUUUUGUUGAAUAGGCACCACAACCUUUUCACUUCAAUGUCAUAAUGGGAUUUUUAAUAAAAUUUCUCUUAAAAAAACGGGGUUGUUAUCCCCAGUUUUUAAACUUGUACUUCUCUUUCCAGAUGUCGGACAUUGUCCAUGGGAAUAAGUACAAAAGGUUUAUGGGGUCCCGGGGUAAGAUAGGGACAGCGUGCAGCUCAGUGCCAAGUGGCUGUUCGGGGAUGAGCCUCCAGCAGGGACUGGCGGGCAUUCAUGCUUUCAAUGUGGUUCCAUACCUGGGUCACGUCACACUGUCUUCAGUUCUUUGACUGCGUCGUGCCCCUGAAACCUCCAGGCCCUUGUUCAUACUGUUUUCCCCCUUGGCGUGUCCUUCCUCUUUUCUGUUUCAUCAGCUUCUUUUUCCUGCCCUACUUUUUCUUUUUCUCCUCAUAGAAUUCAUUUCUUUUUAUCAAGUUAGGUAGUUUAUCUAUUAUGUUUGUUGUCUGUUCUCCUAUCCUGCUAGGUAGCAUAUAAGCUCUGUGAGAGCAGGGAUCUUUGUUGGUCACUUAUAGAUCCCCAGCACCCAGAAUACUGUUUAGAAUAUAAUAGGAACUCAAUAAAUAAUUCGUUAAGUGAAGAAGUGGGUCCCCGAAGGCUGGACUUCUAUGUCAUUGCCUCCGUGAAGCCUUCUAUGUCUGACUUCUCCCAAUCCUGGAUAAGAUUUGUUUAUCUGUCCUCUAUUUUCCUGUGGCACUUUGUUUCUAUUUGUAUUAUAGCAAUUACCCUACUGUAUGAUAGUUGCUUUAUAUUUUGAUGACAAUAACAAAAAAUAAUGUAACAGAAUUUUAAAUUGGAAGUUUUGAUGGAGGCGCCAAGAUGCAAUAAGUACAAAAUAUCUGAGAUAUCAUCCAAAGAUGGACAUUUCCAUGAGUUUCCUGAUUCCGAAAAAAACAAACAAAAACCACCACCACCAAAAACACUUACAUUGUGGACAUUGAAGGAUCAAGAGAGUAGAGACCAGUAAAGGUUUGAUGAGGAGAAUUUCUUUUGAAAGAGUUGUGCUGGGAGUCCCCCACCCCUACCAGGAGGGGCAGGGAGGGUGCUUCUACCUUCAACUUGAGCCAAGGAAGGGGCUCACAGGGACUACAUGGAGAUAGUGUGUCUCUGGCAGUGAGGGAAACACGAGUCCUUUUUGAGUCUUGCCUGGAAAUGGCAAAAGGCAAAGACAGGUCAGACGGCUGCUCUGAUCCUGGGAACAAGGAGGCCCCCCCAGAGUCUGGGUGAAUCAUGUGAGAGACUGAACCAGCCGGGUCAUUUUCAGUCCUCCCCAUGAUUGCUACCUGAAGGCUCCCCUCCAGGACAGCUGGAGACAAAGAAGGUGGCCAGCCGGAGUAAAAUGCAUUACCUUUGACAAAGGAAGAAAUGUAGUCAAAUAUUACUAAAAAAAGUCUUUUGCAGAGGAGGCUUUGAACAAUUCAGGAAAUUGUUGGAAAGCAUCAUCUUUAAACACCCAAAGCAAAGAAUUUUCCAAAUGCAAGAAACUGGCCCCAAAGAGAAUCUGUCAAAACAAGAACUUCCUGGUCCCUCUUUACCUCUCCUCCAUACCGCCUCUGGCAGGGUGAGAAACCUAGUGAUUACAGCUGGGAGAGGAGGAAUCCUGAGCACUGGGAGGCACAUGGUCUGGGAAGAGGCAGAGGAUGAGGCCUGUCUUUCUAUAAACACUGUCAGUCUUCAGCAACCCCCUCCCAGAGAUGAUUUACUGACUUACCACUAAACCAGCUUCGUACUUUUAAGGACUGGACAUUCUGAUUUCUGAAUUCAGACUGUUUUUAUGCCAUAAAGUGAUCUGAGUAAUCUUUUUAUUACCUAGGAAUCUUAAAAAAAAAUUUCUUUUAAUGUUUAUUUUUGAGAGAGACAGAGACAGAGUGUGAGUGGGGGAGGGGCAGAGAGAGGGACACACAGAAUCUGAAACAGGCUGCAGGCUCUGAGCUGUCAGCACAGAGCCCGUCGCGGGGCUCGAACUUGUGAACCAUGAGAUCAUGACCUGAGCCGAAGUCAGAUGUUAAACCGACUGAGAGUCCCUUCUGCAUAAAUUUUAAAGGACCAGUGUUAGCAUGCUUUGUGAUUACCUCCUAUGAGCCCUGCUUGUUCACAGCAUCAGCAACAUCAUAUUAGCUAAUGUUUACUGUGUGUCCACUGUGUUUUCUUGGCACUAUGCUAUUAAUGUAUUUGUCUCAUAGUUCCGCCCAACAACCCUGUGUGGUAGGAGCUCUUAUCCUAUUUCACAUGCAGGACAUCUGAAGUUGAAAGACAUUCACUAACUUCCCUGAAGUUUACAUACUUAGAAGUAGAGUUAGCAUUUGAACCCAGGUGAUCUGACUAUAUUCUUUACUAGAUUCACAUUUCCUCAGGAAUAGGACUGUGCUCAUGUCUGUAUUCCCCACGCACAGCACAGGGUCUGACCUUUAGUGCUCCACAACAGUUUAAACAGAUGAGCGGUCCAUAAAUGUCGUUGGCAAUAUUUCACAGUAACGCAUACAAAAUUCAGCAAAAUAUAAUAACUAGGAGCUUAGGCUUUGGAGUCAUCGGACAUGGUUUUGAAUCCUGGUUCUGUCUCUUCAUAGCUGUUCGGUCUUCAGGAAAAUUACUUAACCUGUCUAUGCCCCAGUUUCCUCAUAACAGAAUGGAAUAACAACCCCUCCAUCAUAGGAUUGUGCUGUGCUGCAAACCAAAGAAGAUUAUAAAUAUAUAAAGCAACUGACAGUGCCUACCACUUAGCACACAGUGAACGUACUUGCCAUAGCAUGUGGCUCAACAGGAUGAUGACUUUUACUUAUUUGGGUUUAGUGCUCCACUGAAUUCUGAAUCAGCAGAGGUACAGUUUGAUAAUGGUAGACAGACCCAACCCUAAUCAAGCUGUGAAGUACAAUGGAAGCUCUUGACCAAACCGCAUGCCAUUUGGUGACCGUGGCUGGCUGAACCCUCCUGUCAUGUGGCUGCUCUCCAGUGUUCCCAUGUGCACCUGCUUCUCUUGUAAGGUGUGUGGUUACAGUGGGUCCCAAUGCUUGUUCCUAACUCUGCUUAUUUGUAAUUAUAAUCACCUAACUUAAUUAAACAUUAUUUAAAUGAAUUACGAAUGGGAAAAGAGUAGAGCACUUUUACAGUUAUCUUCCUGCCUUGCCUUUCCCCUCUAGUUGGAGGGGGGACCUUUGUCUUCAUGCUUACUUCUCUUCCUUCUUUUAGGAGAAAGAACUGACUAAACUCAUUCAUAUGAAGACAUAAGUGACUGCAGCCCCUCUCAAGAUCAAUUGCAUUUUAAUAGGUGUUUAAUGCUGUAGCUAAAGGAAGAAAGCUCUAAAUGUGGGGGUUGAGUACCAAGGACAGGGUGACUAUUUGAUCCUGUCCAAAAACAUGUCAUAAAUCCUCCUUGAUCCCUACUCUCCAUGCUUGGAAGAAUGGUGCUAUUUCUGUUAUAAUUGUGCAUUAUAUCUACAUUCUCAUACCUCUGGACAAGGUAAAUAUAGGCUAGUUGUCCAAUUUGUACUUAUCUGAUUUCACUAAGAGUGGUACACUAUGCGUUAUAAUUAAAUUUGGGAACAGAACCUAUGCUCACAGAAUAGGCUCCCAAAUUUUAUUCUUUUGAGGUAAACCCCAGGUCCAGUGCUACUCACAACACUUAGGUCUGUCUUGUGAGUCCCCCUAUGGUGAAAUGUGUCUUUAUUUGUCUUUGUGCACUGCUUUGGUAAAUGCUCAUGGAACAAACAACUGGAUUCUCACUAAAUAUAUGUCUAUUUUAGGGGCAUCUGGGUGGCUCAGUCAGUUAAGUGGUCAACUUCAGCUCAGGUCAUGAUCUCACGGUUUGUGAGUUCGAGCUCUGAGCUGUCAGCACAGAGCCUGGA
This is a long non-coding RNA of Felis catus (domestic cat), 4746 nucleotides long. RefSeq lists it as uncharacterized. Lineage: Eukaryota; Metazoa; Chordata; Mammalia; Carnivora; Felidae. The transcript has 3 exons. The record is from RefSeq and is a predicted model, not a curated record.